Molecule: ribosomal RNA, 393 nt
Filed under: Triticum aestivum (bread wheat)
Lineage: Eukaryota; Viridiplantae; Streptophyta; Magnoliopsida; Poales; Poaceae
Description: partial small subunit ribosomal RNA
Source: RNAcentral
AUGAUUAUCAGGGAUUUCAACGCGAUCCUAGUGUCCAGCAAGGACGAGGGAGGUAACGUGAGGCCUCAUCAGCACAUGCAAAAUUUUAGAGAUUGCAUAGAAGAAUGUAAGUUGCAUGAGAUCAUGUUCUUGGGAGAUCCACUCACCAAGAGCCGUGGUAUGAUUAGAGAGCGACUGGACCGGGCCUUUUCCAAUGAUGAAUGGAAUAGUAAGUACCCUUUUGCCGCGGUAAUUCAUGAACAUCACAUACAUUCAGAGCACAGGCCACUGGUGUCGGAUACAAGUUACUUUCAAAUAGGCGCAACGUUCAAGUGGAGAACACAGGUUCGAGGCUUACUGGUUACACGAGGAAACAGUUCGAGAGAUUGUUACUUCGGCAUGGCAACGUGCUAA